RNAcentral lists this ribosomal RNA (381 nucleotides) under uncultured eukaryote. RNAcentral describes it as "SSU rRNA". It matches the Rfam family "Eukaryotic small subunit ribosomal RNA", at positions 587 to 972 of the family's 1831-position model. The record is from RNAcentral.
AGCUCCAACAGUGUAUAUUAAAGUUGUUGCGGUUAAAAAGCUCGUAGUUGGGAGUCUGCCAAGGACGACCGGUCCACCCUUGGGGUGAGUAUCUGGCUUGACUGGGGCAUAUUCUUGGGCAGCGUGGCUGCACUUGACUGUGUGAUGCGAUAUCCAAGACGUUUACUUUGAGGAAAUUAGUGUGUUUCAUGCAGGCCCACGCCUUGGAUACCUUAGCAUGGAAUAAUAAGACAGGGCCUUGGUUCCAUUUUGUUGGCUUCUAGAACUGAGUUAAUGACAAAUAGGGAUACUUGGGGGCAUGCGAAUUUGAUUGUCAGAGGUGAAAUUCUUGAAUUUGUCAAAGGCGGACUACUGUGAAAGCAUUUGCCAAGAAUGUUUUCA